This 440-nucleotide ribosomal RNA is filed under the name uncultured bacterium. Its description in RNAcentral is "partial 16S ribosomal RNA". It matches the Rfam family "Bacterial small subunit ribosomal RNA", at positions 338 to 795 of the family's 1533-position model. The record is from RNAcentral.
CCUACGGGAGGCUGCAGUGGGGAAUAUUGCACAAUGGGGGAAACCCUGAUGCAGCGACGCCGCGUGAGUGAAGAAGUAUCUCGGUACGUAAAGCUCUAUCAGCAGGGAAGAAAAUGACGGUACCUGACUAAGAAGCCCCGGCUAACUACGUGCCAGCAGCCGCUGUAAUACGUAGGGGGCAAGCGUUAGCCGGAUUUACUGGGUGUAAAGGUAGCGUAGACGGCAGCACAAGUCUGGAGUGAAAUCCCGGGGCUUAAACCCGGAACUGCUUUGGAAACUGUGAGGCUGGAGUGCAGGAGUGGUAAGCGGAAGUCCAAGUGUAGCGGUGAAAUGCGUAGAUAUUAGGAGGAACACCGGUGGCGAAGGCGGCUUACUGGACUGUAACUGACGUUGAGGCUCGAAAGCGUGGGGAGCAAACAGGAUUAGAUACCCUUGUAGUC